Molecule: ribosomal RNA, 425 nt
Filed under: uncultured bacterium
Lineage: Bacteria
Description: bacterial SSU rRNA
Rfam family: Bacterial small subunit ribosomal RNA
Source: RNAcentral
GUGGGGAAUCUUGGACAAUGGGCGAAAGCCUGAUCCAGCCAUGCCGCGUGAGUGAAGAAGGCCUUAGGGUUGUAAAGCUCUUUUACCCGGGAAGAUAAUGACGGUACCGGGAGAAUAAGCCCCGGCAAACUUCGUGCCAGCAGCCGCGGUAAUACGAAGGGGGCUAGCGUUGUUCGGAUUUACUGGGCGUAAAGCGCACGUAGGCGGAUUGUUAAGUCGGGGGUGAAAUCCUGGAGCUCAACUCCAGAAUUGCCUUCGAUACUGGCUUUCUAGAGGCUGGAAGAGGUUAGUGGAAUUCCCAGUGUAGAGGUGAAAUUCGUAGAUAUUGGGAAGAACACCAGUGGCGAAGGCGGCUAACUGGUCCAGAUCUGACGCUGAGGUGCGAAAGCGUGGGGAGCAAACAGGAUUAGAAACCCUUGUAGUCC